RNAcentral lists this ribosomal RNA (433 nucleotides) under uncultured bacterium. Its description in RNAcentral is "bacterial SSU rRNA". It matches the Rfam family "Bacterial small subunit ribosomal RNA", at positions 43 to 524 of the family's 1533-position model. The record is from RNAcentral.
CAGGCCUAACACAUGCAAGUCGAACGCCCCGCAAGGGGAGUGGCAGACGGGUGAGUAACACGUGGGAACGUACCCUUUGGUUCGGAACAACCCUGGGAAACUAGGGCUAAUACCGGAUACGCGCGAGAGCGGAAAGGUUUACCGCCGAAGGAUCGGCCCGCGUCUGAUUAGCUAGUUGGUGAGGUAACGGCUCACCAAGGCGACGAUCAGUAGCUGGUCUGAGAGGAUGAUCAGCCACACUGGGACUGAGACACGGCCCAGACUCCUACGGGAGGCAGCAGUGGGGAAUAUUGGACAAUGGGCGAAAGCCUGAUCCAGCAAUGCCGCGUGAGUGAUGAAGGCCUUAGGGUUGUAAAGCUCUUUUAUCCGGGACGAUAAUGACGGUACCGGAGGAAUAAGCCCCGGCUAACUUCGUGCCAGCAGCCGCGGUAAU